AUCUAGUUAUCAAACGAUCAUUCAGACAAAAUGUAUGUUCUUAAUGAAGCUACCGCUCAGUUAUCGCGAGUAUAACAAGAGCAGUUCUGAUGCAAUAUUGUCAACAUUUCUUUGGAUGUCGAUUUGUCCAUUGUUCUAGUAAUGCAGUCAAAAGUUCAUUCUGAAGCUGAGUUCACUAGGUUUGGCACAAAUCAUUCCGGGACGUACAUCUUGUUAUUAAAGGAUCACUCUGACAAAAUGUAUGUUCUUAAUGAAGCUAUCGCUCAGUUAUCGCGAUUACGACACGAGCAAUUCCGAAUCAAUAUUCUUUGGAUGUCGAUCGGUCUUUGGUCAUAUAUUACUUUCCUAUUAACUGUAUCAAAUCUCUACAAAACUUUCAAUUCAAAGCUUAGCACCUUCAAUGUCCACUAAAUUUCUCGAAAUUUCUUUUCAGUCCGCCCACCUAUAAUUCAUUUAAAUAGUAUUCCUUCAUUGAAGAGUGUUUGAAUUGUAUAAAAGGAUAGUUGAAAUUGGUUUGUUGGCACCCAUUUGUUGUAAAGUUUCGUUGUUUAUGCAUUUAUUAUAAAUUGUAUGUAAGUAUGUCUAGUUAAAUGACUGUCGGUCUGUCGUUCGGUUGGUUGGUUAGUUGGUCGGUCGGUGACUUUGUAUUUAUCCAAUUCGGAUACAGAUUAUUUUCUUUUACACUUUUUUUUCUCAGCUUUUAUUUUUUGCAUCCAUAAACUACGACAUCGGCAACAUACAACUUUGAAAGUCUUUCAUAAGUUUGUGUGUUGUUGGUGGUGGUGGUGGCAACAAAUGUUUGUAUGUAGCUCUGCUAUUGCUUUAGAUAUUGCUGCUGCUGUUGUUGUUGAUGCUCAUCAAAUGCUGCGUUUUUAAAUGGUACUCAAAAUGUAUAAACUUUCAUCUCGUAUCACACAAUCCGCCAAACAGCAUCAACAAAAAUACAUUCCGGUAUUUGCAGCAGUAUCUCUACUAACUAGCAUUUUCGAGUCGGUUCUUUUAAAUUUUUUUUUAAAUUUUUUUGGUUGAUUGUUGUUGUUUUUGUCGUCGCCGACAAUUUUAGCAUCAUCAUCGUCACUGGCAAUGAUGCUUUACUUACAAUACCCUGCCGUUUGUGUUGGAGUUGUUGCUAUCGUCGUCGUAGAUGUUGUUUAUCCCCAAGAUUAACAGAUAAAAGUAACAAUAUUUCAUAAAAAAGCAACAAAACGUAUUAAAAGAAAAUACAAAAACUAAAAAAAAGUAACAAAAGAAAAAAGUGAAUAAAAGUGCAUUAUUUUGUGUAUGUAUCUGAGUUGAAAUUUUUUUCUCUCUACUUUUGCAAAAAAAAAUCACAUUUAAACGAGAUACAUGAACUUUGAGUGUUUAUUAUUAUCUUAGAUAAAAGGUAUACAAAAGGAAAAAAGUACUAAAUUGAAUAAUAAUUUGAACUUAAAAAUCUGAGAUUUUAACAAAACAAUUUUAAAAUAUUUUUUUUUUUAAAUUGUGGAGUUUAUUAAUUACUUAAUGCAAAUUUGUUCGUGUGGGGUUUUAUUGCUUUAGAAAGUACCGCUCCGAAAUGUAGACGUUUAAAGUCUUAGUUUAUCAUCAAGCCCCGAUGUGGCAAGUAUGAUCUUGAGGAAAUUAUUGGUGAGUAUUAAAGAAAUGCCUAAUUAUAAGAUUAACACUAUGUACUAUGUAUGUCUUAAGUUUAUUUUUAUUUUAUUUUAUUUUAUUUAUUUAUUUAUUUAUUCAAAAACAAUGGCCGUAAGCCGAUAGGGCCUAAUUGGCUAGUCUACAAUUAAAUAUACUUAUAAUACAAAAAUAUUAUUGGUACAUUAUUUAGUAAGAAAAUAUAACAUAUAUUUAUAAUUUUUUUAA
This is a long non-coding RNA of Lucilia cuprina (Australian sheep blowfly), 1857 nucleotides long. RefSeq lists it as uncharacterized. NCBI's taxonomy places the organism in Eukaryota, Metazoa, Arthropoda, Insecta, Diptera, Calliphoridae. The transcript is spliced from 2 exons. The record is from RefSeq and is a predicted model, not a curated record.